Molecule: long non-coding RNA, 20216 nt
Filed under: Gallus gallus (chicken)
Lineage: Eukaryota; Metazoa; Chordata; Aves; Galliformes; Phasianidae
Source: RNAcentral
CGGGGAACUUCACAUGGUGAAGACCAAGGAAUUGCAUUGUGAAGUAAUCCAGGGGCUUCACUCCUUCUGUUCAGUGUCACUUUGCUCAAUAGUGAACCUAUGUGCAUUUUUUUAAAGGUUGCUGGGCAUGGUCUGUAAGAGGUGAGUGCGGGAGGUCUUGAGAUGGGAAGGGAUGAGAAGGGACAGAUGUGGGAUCAACAGCUGUGGUGUGCAGCAGUGCUCCUGCUGAGCUUUGUGGUGCAGAGGCUCUUACUCCUGAAUGCACAGCGUGUGCAGAGGUGCCAGGCUGUGUGUUGGCAGCUGUGCAGGUGCCAAACACCACAACCUGCAGGCACGCUCCAGGCUCAUCUCUCCCUGAACACUGCGAGGCUUUCCAGCACUGGGCUGUGCCUGCAGCCUCAGCCCACUGCCCUCUGAGCCCAAGUGCAGCUGCAGCACGCUCUGAACACAUCCAGACCGCUCGCUGCUCUGGGCACUGAAACCUGCAGUUGCUUUGGUUCAAUAGCAGUUGCUGUGUUACAGUAACACUUCACAGAUUAAAAAAAAAAAAAAGUUUUGGAAUUAUUUCAACCAAGCCGUAACCCAGCGCAGUUAAUGGGCCUUUCCCUGCUCGUGAUUAAUGCUGGCGCACGGCGGCGGUGCUCCUGCAGAACAGGUCUGGCGCUGGGCGCUGUGCAGGCAGGCUGUGCCCCGGCACGCAGUGUGCGGGGGGAGCGCUGCCCGGCUGUGCUGCCGGGGGGGGUCCGUGGGGCUGGGAGCGCUGCCUUCCACAGCCAGGGCCUGAACGCGGCCGCUGGGGAUUGUACCCUUCCUUCCACAGCUCUGUCCUGCAGUUGGGGUCAUUUCUACCCACUUAUGCAAAUAGCAAGUUAGAUAUAUAUAUAUAUAUUUUUAAUUAGCAUUGGAGGUAGGAGAGUGAGUGUUCUAAAUGGCAGAAUGGCAUUUAGUAUGCUUUAAAUGUGUGCGUUGGGGAGGGAAUACAGGUUGUGACAAACGUUCCUUAUGACUACGCUAGUAUUUCUUAGGCUGUUAGCUAUAUUUUCCCGAAUGCCGUUCUUUCCCCCCGGUGCAAACAGACUCAAAUAGAGCUGCACCAAAAUAACAGGAGUGCCCGCUGUUGAGCAAGCUUGCAUGUUUAAAAAGGUCCACGUUCUGAACUGAUCGAUUCAAACCUUCAGCGCCCCAGGCUGGAUGGACCCGGGGUGCAUCUCUGUGCAGUGACACUGCUGCAGCUACACGCAUGGUGAGUGGGGCAGAGCCUGCUGGUGCUCGGGGAAGUCGGAGCAGAAAAGUUCUUUCAUUGUUGUAAGAAAAUGGGAAUAAGGCUUUGUGGUGAAAUGUACGGCGUCAUAAUGCUUUUUCUUGUGACAGGCUCUGUCACAAGACUAUAGCUGCUAUUGAAAAAAAACAUUGACCAAAAGGAAAACUUCAGCUUUUAUAGACCCACUGAAUUUUUUUGAGGAGGGGUGUUCAUCUCAGCCUUUCCUUAGGAAGAAGUGGGAUUUUUCAAGUUCACUGUGAGAGUUCUCCUGUGCAGAAUGUGGGCAAAGCCCCCCAUGCCUCUGCUCCUUGGGGCCAAGCUGCUCUUCUGCAGGAGGCUUAGAGUAAGUGGUUGCAAGGAAGGCGUGAGCCUAACUCACACUGAUAGAUUUAAAACAACUUAACAGAGCUGCACACGGUCUGCAUGCAAACAAAGCAGCUGUUAAGCUGGAAAAGUCAUUGCACAAACAAGUAACUUGUAACUUAGUGGUUUUGUUUCAUGCAAGAAGGAAGUGGCAUUGGUGCUGUCAGGUGGAGAAGUGACCUACUGGAGAACCAGGAGUUCCUGGGUCUCUGUCACACAGUUCUACUUGCACUCAAGAGACUAAAGAAAUCAUUCUCCUGGAGGCAGCCCGUGUACAGCUAGGUUGGAAAAACAUCAUAGAGAGAUUUGGGGCCUUUCUUCGGGUUAUCGGGAGAGCAAUGCACACUGUGCUGUCAAACCAUCGGCAGGGCAACAAGGCCAUGUAGUUCCAACCCAGAGCAGAGGGAAGGGAUGGGGCUCCUGCCAGAGCUGGCACCCAUCUAAGAAAUGCAAUGCAGUCAGGUCAUCUUCAUAUACAUCUCCUUAUACAACCACCCUUGUACAAGGGUUGUCCCCCCCAGUCCCUCCAUCAUAACCUUUUAAUUGCAGUAUACAUUCAGGAAAGGAGUCUUACAUUUCUUUUGUGUGUGUGUGUUCGUGUGAAAUAGGGAAUUUAGCCCAAACUGUAAUUAGUUUCUGAUUCUCUUUUCACUGAAUAGAAACUUAAGUGGAGGACAAGAAUUUGCUGAAGGACAAGAAUGAGUUGAAGGAGGGAAGAUUAAGUUGGAUGUCAGGGGGAAGUUCUUUACCAAGAGAGUGGUGAGGUGCUGGAACAGGCUGCCCAGAGAGGCUGUGGAUGCCCCAUCCCUGGAAGUGUUCAAGGCCAGGCUGAACAGGGCCCUGGGCAGCCGGGUCUAGUAUUAGAUACGGAGGUUGGUGGCCCUGCCUGCGGCAGGGGGUUUGGAGCUUGAUGAUCCCUGAGGUCCCUUCCAACCCAAGCCAUUCUGUGAUUCUAUGAAUAGAAACUGCUGUGCUGAUUUCUCAGACAGCUGCUUGAGGUGGUCACCUCUGCAUCUGAGGGAAAGAGAAAAGGGACAGGAAAAAUAAGGCCAGCAGUGGAGGUAAAAUGUUUUUAUUAGUUUCUGAUAUUUCAGUCUCAUCUAAUUAAGCUGCAGCUAGAACCAAAAAAACAUAUCUUUGUAAAAAGACUACCAUAGUCCAAAACAAUCCAUAAAAAACUGCAUCUAGUUGCCUUCGUAUUAAAAAUUGAAAUUCAGAAAGAACUUUUAAAGGCUUUAUUUUCUAACAGCAUCUUCAUAGAGAUAAUAUCCAAGGUUUUUUUUCCUAAGUACAGGUACAAGGCAAACAAGCAUCCUACAAAAUAUGGGAAAAAGGUAGUGUAGGAGGGAAAUUAAGACAGUGUAAUAAUCCACUAGCCAGACACACAGGUUAAAUGUAACACAACCAUACCAUCAAUGAAAUACUUAAAAAUGAAAAUAAAUUAAGGGUACGCCAAAGUUCCUGCUUUACUUUUGCUGUUAAAAUCCUCAAUAUAUAGUACAUACCACUGCAUUAUGGAUCAUGGCAAAGACUUAUCACUAGCAUUUUAAAAACUGCUAUAGAAAAGCUUCUAUGGAAAUAAGCCUGCAGAUACUCCUUCACACAACUCUGUGAUGGCUAUAUAGAAAUUCUGCUGAUUCGGGUGUUCAAACGAGGGCCGUUAGUUUUAGAAUCACCGUGCAAUUCUGUACAAGCCUGGCUGCAAAUCUGAACGGCUGUGAGAAUGGAAAUGAACAGAAGUGAGCUGAGAUCCACACAUUCUUGCUGUUCAGAUGCUGCCCUACCCCUUCUGCUGCUCAGCCAAGCUGCGUAUUUUGUUCUCCGAUACCCGCACCCAGCAGGAAUGCAGUUUUGCAGAGCAGAGGUUGUUGGUAGCAUUAUUACAUUUUCUGGAAACCAAAAUCUUGUUCUCCUACCGCCCCACGGUCACUGUGCAAGCCAGGUUAACAUGAACACAGGCAUAAAAGGCCUUGUGCUGCUUUACCUGAUACUUGGUGCUUCAGACCGCCACGUGCCCUGUGGAAGCUAACUGCCUGUAAAGAUCACUACAGAAUGCUGCUGGUUUUCUGCAAAACAUCUUUAAGUACCCCAGUUUGCUAUUACUGUGCCCUGCUCGUUAACUGCAACCAGAUAGGAAAAACCUAAGUGGUGCUGUGCAGGAAUUGCUCUGUAGGUAGAAAAGCAGUUCACCAAACAGGACAACAAACUCUCUACGGCCUUUGCAGUUUGUAAUAUGUAAUGGAGAAAAGAAAGGGCUUAAACACACUAAAAAGUAUUUAAAGGAAUUCACCCAAUUAUGACUUUCUGAUACUACAGUGAAGCAUCCUGGUGAAUUUAUCCCGUUAUGCUAAAUGUAAGAAGGUGAGCGUACAUCUGUGAAAUGCUGCUUCCAUAACAGUAAGCUCCUUGCUGACUAAGGAUUUCGAUCUGCACUUAUUAGACAAAUCUUCUGGAGGAGAAAAAUAUUUAACGCCUUUAAAGAAAUACCCUAAGCAGUUUCUGGUUUAAUUGUAUCAAAUCUUCAGUGUUAAACCUAAAAAGAUCCGCACACAACGAUGGUUAAAAGAACCCCUCAUUUGCUCAGUUCCUGCAUGGGUGGUGCAGACAGGCUGCACCUCCAGAGUUCAUCCCGCCGGGCUGUGGCAGUGACUACUGCCCGCUGUUCUCUGCACUUGUUGUGGUGCUCUCAGUGCCAACAGGUUGCACAUUGUCUGCGAGACUGUGUGCGUGCUCAAGGAAUAGGUCUUUCAGUACGCUCAGCUCCUUGGUCAGGAGCUUAAUUUUCGCCUCUAAACGUUCAUUUUCUUCUUUGAGCUGGGUGACCCUUUGCAGCGUGUCUUGUGCUUUCUGCUUGCUUUUUAACCGGCUCUUUUUCACUGCCAUGUUGUUUCGCUCUCUGCGCUGACGAUACUCAUCGCUGUUUCUAUCCACAAAGGAAUUCUUCUUUCCCUGCUUGCUCGGAGGCACAGCUUUGCCUCCACCACCAGGACUAACGGGAACCAGCUGGGGAACCUGCUGCAAACCACUGCUGUGCGCCUGGGUGUGAAUCACGCUUACUCCGUUCGCAUCUGUAGCGGUGUUCUGCGGGGAUGUCUUGCUCAUUUGGACGGGCUCUUCUUUGACACAACAGAAUAUUAGAAGACUGAAAACUCUUUUCUAGAUCGUGUUUCCAGCAGGUCUUCACAUGGGUUAAGAGGCAAGGUGAACCCUGAAGGAAAAACAAAAGCUGUUAAAGGUGCUAUGUUCAGCUACAGUCUUACACAUCGCUGCCUUUGGCAUAAGGUACCGAUGGCACAUCUGGCAGCAACACACCAAAACUAUGCUGGAAGUGGAAAAGCUGCCAACUGCUGGGACAUUUCAGAAGCCUCUCGAACAUAUUUGGAUUGGAAGGGACUGUUACUGGGUCAUCUAGUCAAGCUGUUUGCAUUGUUCACUGGAUUUACUCAGUUAUUCCAAAGCCAUCCCUGAUGGAUGGGUGUCUAGCCUAGCCUUGAAAAAUCUCGUUUCACAACCUCUGUCUUGGCAACUAGUUCCACUGUCUAACUUUUCUCCCAGUUAUAUAAUUUUCUUAAUUUUUUAGACUGAAUUCUUUCUUCUGCAGCUUAAACCCAUUAACAGCCUGACUCUUGACCAACAGGAGUGCUUGAUCCUUGUCCUCUCCGGACCACCCUUCUGGGUGUCUGCACAUUCCUUGGUGGUCUCUGCUUUUCUCUAGAGACAGUCCACCUUCCCUUGAACAUCUCACAACAUCUUCCAGUGCUUUCACCAGCUCUAAGAUUGUUUUACUUGUUUUUGAAGAUGGAGCCCAAACUGAUGGUUGUUUUAAGGUCUCAGCAGUACUCAGUGCAAAACCAUACAAGAAGAGGUAGUGAGUGCUGUGAAGGCUGUGACUGAAUGACACAAAAGGAAACCCUCAGCCACAAACAAGGUAAGACCAGCCAAGCCUUUAACACUGCUGUGAGGGCAGGUGGGACUGCAAAGUAGGGUGAGAGCAACGUGAGAAACACUGCACUUGAAAGACAGGGGACCUACAAGGAGACAUGGGCCACAGCUGACCUGCCCACAACACUUCCCUCCGCUGUGGCUCACAGCAGUCAGUGUCCGUGCUCCUCCCCAGCAGGCUGCAGGCAGACAGCCUGAGGCACGGGCACCCCUGGGGCUCAGCCUGCUCCCAACCCUGCUGGUGGUACAAGACUCUGCUGCCGCACCUCCUCGCCUGUCCCCAGGACCCACUGGGGAAGAUCAGCUGAGGUCAGCAGAGCACAAGGCGAGCCAUGCAGUGCCCAGCCCAGCCUUAUAUCUGACAGCACAGGAGGCUGAAGUCCUGUGUGGCAGUGCUCAGCCCGUAUUCAGGGGCUCCUGAGCUGCAUGCUGCUCCUGUAUAUGUUUUCCACCACAGCCUGAGUGCCAUUUGACAUUCUGCUGGGUUAUCAUUAAUGAGAUUAAAAUGUUACUGUCAACUGCACGUUUUCUUUCGUAAUCUGAGGGAGCCUGAACAAGGUGCAGCUGCACAGUGUGGCUCAGUAACAUUUGCAGCAUAGCCCAGCAGUUUGCCUUCAUUGUUAUUCAAAAUUAACAUUCUGUCACCAAGAACUCUUCUCCCUUAAAGCAAGUGAAAAAGGUUUGUGAGUCGCGUGAGUAUAACCACACCCCUCGAGAAGUUUUCAUAUUUCAUGUUUUCACUUUCAUAUUUCAGGACAGAGGGAUGUCAGGGCAGACAUCGGGCAGCUCGGCCUCCAGUCCCCUCCAUUUCAGCAUGGCAGGGCUCUCCUGGGCAGCCCAGCUAGGAGAAAUGCCACGUCUACCAGCUGUGUUGUGUCCGCUGCAGAGGAACAGGCAGCGCUGCCCUGAAAGCAUCACACCCCACCAACAUCUGACAAGCUCCUUCACAGCACCAGGUUCCACUUGCUAUUCUCUCUACGCUAUCAGAACUAUUUAAUAUUGCUCUAACAUAUGCAUAAGAUCGCUAUCUGAUGCCCCUGCAAUUCGAAGGAAAAAAUGAUGUGUUCCAUUAACUUGAAAUGUAAUGGGAUAGUUAAGUUCUCAGUGGAGGAGAACGUGGGUUGAGCAGAGAGACAGAACCCAAGUGUCACAUCUCCCAGGCUGCUGUUAGUCCUGAUGCACAGAGCGCUUCACAACAGGUCUCCCCCAGUUCCUGACCCCUGGAGCUGCCCCAUGCUGUGUCAACUAUUUCUUCAGUGGGGCACGCUCUCAUCUGGCACUCACAUGGGAAAUGUGACACACGGCUCCUGUCCUGCUCCAAUACUGGGUACUGCAGGGCUCCUUCAGCGGCUGCCACCAGGAGGUUUGACUGUAUGGGUUAUGCAGAAGGGGCCGUGGCAAAGCACCGCGCACCUGGGGAAGGCCGUGAGCAGAUGGCUGCCGGGGCUCACUGCUCAGGUGCGUGCCACACUGACACGUUAGCUGUGGGAGGGUGACAGCAUGACACGACAGGCAGCAGCUCCCUGGCAUCCCGUUCCCACGCAGCUCCCAGCUGGCACGGGGCAGCCCCGGGCUGGUUCCGCCCAGCACUGCCGCUGCUGCUCCAGCGGCCGGAGCUGCCCGGUUCCAUCGCGGCCGCCGGCUGCCACCCACCACCACCCAGCGCACACAAUAGCGGCAGCCCGGGGCUCCGCUGGCCGCAGCUCCUUGGGGAUGCGGAGUCCCAGGCACGCCAGGCCCUUUAUUAGCUUUGCUUUCUCCCCAGAAUUUGAAACUUCUAAACGUUUGCCUCGGCAAAAAGAAAAAAAAAAAGUUUUAAUUUGUUAAUUAAAUCAGUUUGGUUGGUUCGCUGCUCCACAGCUUGCUGUAGGCUGCGCGGCUGCUCUGCCCCUACUGCCACAGCCGGCAGCGGGACGCCGCUCGCCUCGGAGCGCCCGCAUCCCCGCGCACGUUCCCGGCGGAACGCGGCCCGACAGCGCCAGCGGCGCGGACGCUCAGCACAGCUGUUCAACAACUGAACCGCGCCGCCGCGAACCCCGGCCAGCGCCGUCGGGACGCGGAGCUGCAGCGGCCGCUUCUAAAGGUGAACCGACUCCUUAACUCCGAACUUUCCGGAUCUCGACGCGUUCGGCGCUCGGCCCCGGGGCGCCGUGACGGCCGCUCUCCGUCGGGGCAGCGCAGCUCCCGGCGCAGCGGCCCGGGGCCGCCCCUCCGCGCUGACAUCAGCGCCGCCGCCGCCCCGCCCGCCCGCUCCCCCCACGCCCCCCCCCCGCCCCUCCCGCCUGGGCGCCCGCUGCCCCGGGGCGGCUCCCGGCCCUCCCCCGCGGCCCCGCGGGGCUCGCAGCCCGGGGGCCGCCCGGCCGCGCUCCUCCCCCGCCCGCGCGGGGCGCACGGCCGCGCCAAGCCGUGACUUCACCGGGGGGGAGGAGAGGCGCGGGCCGGGGCCGCCCGCCGAUUGCAUCAUGCGCUCCCACGCGCGGGGCCGCCGCGCCACCGGCGGACGGACGCGCGGCGGGGGCGGCCCCUACGGCCCGGCGCGGCGCCCCCCGCGCGGCGGCGCUUACCUGUGGCGGCGCGGGCGGCGGCGGAGGGGAGGGGCGCGGCCGGGCCCGAGCCUCCUCGUUCACGCGCGGAGCGCGGCCGAGCGGCGAUUGCGAAACCCGCCCCGCGCCGCCCCGCCCCGCACGCCAAUCGCCGCCCGCCCUCCCGCCGGGGUGAUGCAACGCCCGCCCUGAUUGGCAGUCCCCGCGGCCAAUCGCGCGGCCUCGCGCUUAAAGGGCGCGGCCGUGUUUGUGUGGGGACUUUGCGGGGCCCUCGGCGGCCGGGGUGAUGCCUCGGGGCGGAGGAGGCUGUGCGCAGCCCCGCCCCGCCGCUGGGGGGCGCUCGAGCGGCCCGGCCCGGGGCGCCAUCUUCUCGCCUCGGGCGUGAGGCGGUGGCCGAGGCCUCUGGGGCGUGUGGCACUGCCUUCCUGCGUCCGAGGGGACGGAGCUGAAAGUACGGCAGACCCCCUGGAUGUCUGAGAUGACGGGUUACGUUUCUUUGCAAAUAUCGCAAAAAGAUGAAAGCUUAUGAGCAGGCUUUUGGUGCUUUCCAGCCGCCCCGGCUCACACCCCCGAGCUCUGACCAGGCACGUGCCGUGAUGUAACGUCCCCAUCUCUGAAGCUCCGCGUGCGUAACGCCCUCAGCAGCUUUGUAAUGAAUGCCCUGUGGAAAAUGAGCCCCAUUUGCAGAAGAAUUCUGGGGUUGAAACGAUUCUGUUUUCUCUGGCAACGAUUCAUCCGUCUGUAACUACAGCAAAAGUUCCAGGUAAGCGCUAAGCAUUAUCCUGUCCUUAAGCGGUUCCCUGUGUGCUCUUAGAGUGCUCCCGUGGGGUUUAAAGUACUGUAUCACCAUUCAUUCAUUCUUCUUCUUCAAAGGAAGAUGAAGAAAAUAAAAUACAGAUGAACUCAUUCUCAUGUAGCCUGCUUGUUCUAAACGUUAAAGCCCAUGCGUAGUUCUCUGCUCAAUGGGAGCUCCAUUGCUAGGCUGGCAUCAUGUCUUGUGCAGGAAAACUGUCCCACAGUGUGCUUUAAGUCUUUGCAGGAUAAAUCCCCCUGGUGCAAAUGGGAUGUGAGGAAAGGUAAUCACAAAAACAUAAGGAGUGCUGCUGGAAAGGCGGGGCACUGAAAUACACACCUGAUCUGCUGGCUGUCACAUUGGGUUACAUGAGCUGUGCGUUGGCUCUGGAGCUCAGUGUCAGGAGCAGGGCUGUGUUCCUGUAGCAACAGUCCACCUAUAAGGCUGUCUAAUUUUGUGAUGGUGGUAAUGCUUAGCACAUGCAUAGCCCAGUCUUGUGAAAGACUAGUCCCUGAAAAACAACAACACCAACAGCAAAACCACAAGUUUUCAGCAUCUUCAAGUAGUACACAGUAAAUCACGGCUCAAGGCAGAAGGACUGCUGAAGAAACAGCUCUUUGUGGGAACUGGAGGCAAAGAUGUAGGGGGCAAAGGAACCUGUUGGGGUAAAUGUUCCCAUUUGGUGCUUGGUCAGUAUGUUCACUUAAUGCUUACCAAAAAAGUUUUCUGCAGCCUUAUGCUCAGAGUGUGAAAACUGCUCUAUUUCUCCAUCUUGUUUAUUGUCCUAUUCCAUUGUUUAUGGUUGUUACCUCUGUGUUCAUGGACGGUUAUUUCUUUGUCCUAAAAUAAAAAUCAUAUACUGGACUACAACCUGUAUUUCUUUUUUCUCCUGUAAGCAUUCAGUUACCUGCCUUCCCUUCCCUCAUGGAUAGCCUUCACUGGACUUUUUACUUCAAAUUUGCACAUUUCUGUUAAACAUUUACCUUUCACGUGUGGUUUAACUGUGUAGUUUUUACCUCUAUCAUGUGUUUAGAAUUCUUACAGGUGAGAAUUCACUUUCUUGAGUUUUAAAAGAGAGGAAAUUGUAUAUACUUUUAAAAUCUAUGUGCAUAUAGAUUGGUCCCUUGGACUAUUUGUAAAUUGAGUCUGUGGGCAGGUGCACUAAAUGGUAUUGGAACUUUCUGUCCUGUCUGUACGGAUCAUCCAGAAGCUGAAGAGCUGCAGAUCUGUAGUCCAUCCCUGCCAGCCACUUAGUGUUCUGGUUUAAUCACUCAAACAGUGCUAAGUCAUGACAGAAGAGUGACCAAACAGUUAAAAAGCAGCAGUAGCAGUCUCUUGCCGCCUGUUUUGACAUAAAAAAAUAAAAAAAAAAAAAAGAAGUUUCUAACCUUGUCAUUGUCAGUCUUCUGAGAAGUUCUUUUCUUGCUGACUGCUACUCCCGUUCUUGCAACCUAGAGUUGUUUGGGACUGGACAGAAAGACUCUGUGGAAUAUGAUUGUAUUCUUUAUGAUCGUGAAGCAGUUGGCAUUCUUUUGGGAAUAUCCCAGUAAUACAAAGUCUGUAGUAGGAGUUUUUCCUAUUAUUUUUAUUAUUUCUUAAUAGCUCUUGCAGUUUCAUGUUACAAUGUUUGUUUUUUGCCUUCGGGACUGGCCUCCACCAAGAUCAAAAUGCUACUGUUAGAAAUGUCUCCCAAUCCAAUUUGAUAAUUUAAAUAUGGUAGAAACUUGACUAUUAAUAGUUGAUUUGUCAGAGGUAGCCUUUUUGCAUAGGUGAAGGGAAAGGAGAGGAAGCUUUGCUUAGUAGUGGUGAUCACUAUUUCAGGACUGCACUGCUAAUUCUAGCACUGACUCACUGUAGCCUUGGAAAGUUACAGUGCUUUUGUUCUAGAAAAUACUAAGUAAAGAAAGCAGCCAUUCUGUUCUAAUAGCAAGCAUCCAUUUUAUUGUGACACUGCCUGGAGAGGAAGAAUCCAAUGCUUUUGUUCUUUCUCUCUAUGCUGCUAAUAAUUCUUACAAGAAAGUAUUUCCAGUUGCUAGUUCAGCAUCUUCCAACACUGCUUCCUCUACGUCUGGUUAUCAAAAUACCAAGAAUGCGAUGGCUGUUUUUAGGCUGCCACUAAACAAUAUUGUUUUUUACUUUCAUGUAUAUGCAAAGUGUUAGAAAAGGCAAAGCUAUAUAGCUAAAGGUGAGUAAAAACAAAGUCAAUAAAUAGACUGAAAGGAAAAUGCUAUAUAUCAUGUGUAUGUGUAUAUAUAAAAUCUGGUUCCAAAGAGGCUUGUUAGAACUAAACAAGUCUGAGCGAGAAUUAAUGGCCCACACCUGGGAAAAAGAGGUGAAUGCUCAAGCAUCCAGGUUUAGUAACUGCCACACCUGUCCUAUACUCCCAAAAGCAUAAAUGAGUUCUGUAAGGAUUUAGAUAGCUUAGCUUUUGAACGCACAGUGCCAUGGCUCUUUUCCAAGGCAUCAUCAGUCACCACUUGAAAAUCCCCACCCUUAAUUAUCAGGGCAUUAUUUGUCAUGGGGUAUGCUCUAAAGAACUUCACUUCAUUUGUAUGAUAUCAGGAAGAGUAAAUAGUUUUGGGAAUGACUUCUACCCUGACUUUAAAAUGGUUCUUUGCAACAGAACCAUAAAACACCCUUCCAGAAAAAUCACUGAAAUGAGAGAGUGUCAUCUUCAGUCCCAUGGUAUUGGGUGAAGGAGGACCAAACUUCUUUCUCAUCCAUGGUUUUAUUAUUCCCUGCAACUUACAUGAUCUCUGAAGUGCCAUAAAUAGCAUGAUGAGCAGCUGCCUGAAAAGAAAGAAGAGACUGAGAGUUUGGCACCUGGACGGGGGAGAAGGGGUAUGGUCCACCUGAUUGUUCACCCUGUGUCACUUUGUUCAUUCAAGUGAAUAGAAAGCUACUUAUCCAUGCCUGUACGAGAGAAACUAUGCAGGAGAAAAAAUGGAGAAAGUAUGCUGGCAAGUGCAGAAUGUCUGUCAUUGAGCUGCUGCUACUAAUACCUAGAAUUAUGUGCUAGAUUGUCAGUGACAGUGGUAUUUUUGUCAGGCAGGUACAGCGUAUCUCACAUCCCCAGGAGAAAAUAAAGGAAGUAUGCAGUGUCAUCAUCCUUCCAGAAAGUCACUUCUCCCAUUCUGGUGAGUUAGCUGGCAGAAAGGCCUUUUCUUUUCCUGUAUCUUAAAAUGGAAGCAAGUUCAACAGAAACAGUGGGGCACAGCUCCCUGCUCUUUGGCUGUGCAUACUCUCUAACAAACCAUAGACUCUUAGAGGACCAAAGCAAUUACAUUUACACACACAGGCACCUGGAUAUCUCUGUCACUGAAUUUACCAGAAACAAUACAGCAUUAGGUUUCUAUUGAAUAUGAACACUGCAGCCAAAAUUGUAGAAAAAUACCUCUUAGGUAUUAGGUAAUGUGUCCCAGGACAACAGUGUCAUUGAAGGACUCAUCUGAUUUCUCUCCUCUUGACUGUAAGUAGAUCACAUUUCCUUCUGAUAGGCAGGAGAAGUUUUACAUCCCUUCGUCACUAGCCUGUCCAUCGAGGUCUGCUUUCUGUACCUCAUCAACCAUAAAAACUAACUCAGCAAAUCUUUGUAUAGGAAAUUGUUCCUGAUGUGAUCUGUUUCAACAUCAUGUGGGGUUUUGCUACGUGAUUUUCUUGGUCAGAAGGACUUGCACAGUUAAGAUCCUAAUGGAAAUUAUUGGGAAUCUUGCAUGAGGGAAGAAUUUAGGAUCAACAAUAUUGCAAUGAUGGUGAUUCAUAGGGGAAUAUCCUAUGUGUGAAAAAAGUAGCAUGCAAAGAGUAGUAGAUGGAAACACAAAACACUUCAAAAUACAUUGAACCAUAUCUUGCAGAUGUCCAUGUGCAUGAGCAUUGGCAGUUGACACUUAAAUGCCAAUAGUCACUUGGCAGAGAGUGAAAUUUACACUCUUGAAGGGUCCCUGAAGACCAUUUCCAAACAUGCCCAGUUAUUUGCUGAAUGGAUGCUUCGCAAGGUGGACUUUACCAAAGUGUGCACAGUCACAGAAUCACAGAAUAGUAGGGGCUGGAUGGGACCUCUAGAGAUCAUCAAGUCCAACCCCCUGCAAAGCAGGCACCCUACAGCAGGCUGCACAGGUAGGCGUCCAAGCGGGUCUUGAAUAUCUGUAAAGAAGACUCCACAACCCCUCUGGGCAGUCCAUUCCAGUGCUCUGUCACCCUGACCAUGAAGAAGGUCACAGAAAUCUUUAUAGCUCAGCAGUGAAUGUGGUAACAGUCAUAAUCAUUUGCCUAGGCUUUUGAGGCCCUCCUUCAGAGUGUACAGGCAUUACUUUGAAGUCAUAUACAGUUCCAAUGGAAAUGUGAUUUGGCAGUUGGAGAAAAGGACUUUGCUUACCAGGAAAUGAAAUUGUAAAGUGCAUUGUUUAUUGUACUUCUACCUUACAUCAUCUUUUUCCUCUUGUUAAAAGCCCUUUGACAUUAGGAGACUCUGCAGGUGGGACAGUGCUAAGGAUUGCAAAGCACAUGCUCGUGCUUUCCUUCCUUUAAAAAAGGUGAAGACAGGAUGAGAACACGUGUACUCCUAGCAGGAGCAUGAGCAUGGGCAGCCAGUCCAAGAGAGCUCCAGGCAGAAGAGACUGCCCUGCUUUCAACAAGUGGGCUGUGCUGUGCUGGUGCUGUAAAUAACAGGAAAGCCUUGGGCACAAAUUUCAAUGCUUGGAGCACAGCAGGCUUAUAACAAAAUAUUUAAUUUGCCUAAACACUGUCCUGAUGUGGGGACAUUUAUCAGUCAGUACUUUCUGGCAUCAACAGAGAAUACUGCAGCACACUGUGAAGCAGUCUUUAUGUCUCUGGAUUUCAUCUUGUGAAGGGGCACCAGCUAUGGCUGUAAGUUGAAUGGGGAGUUACAGGCAGCUCUCAGAUACUUCACGUUAUAGCAGCAUUGGUAGCUGAGCUGGGGGAAAGCUAUGAAGUCUGCAAGCUUUUAUUUAGUAUUUGAGUGCUUUUGGAAAGAUUUCUAGCAGGAUUUUCAGUGGGCUUAAAUUUGAUAUGUGCCACAUAUUCUGCCACUCCAUCACCAGAUGGAUUUCUUGGCCUUGACCAAAAUAUGUAGAUCCAAGGAUUUACAAGUGUUCCAGUCCUACAAGGGAGACUGAAUAGCUCUGAGCCCAGUGAGAAAAAGAGGCCAAGGGGCACUGGGGCAAAGUCUGGUUUCCUGAAGACUGAGUUUUCAAUUGAUGUGUCAGGAGAUCAGAGCUCCACCUCAAGCAUUUCCCACCAUUUGCAGAGUUAGCUUUUCUCACAGAAUAGGCACCUGUAUUUGUCUUUCAUGAAAUGCAGGCACAGUGGAAUCAGCCUGCAGCUCUGUGCAAGGGGCAGUUCUGGUGAGGAGACCUAUGGCAUUCUUUACUUAAAUAAAUGCAAACAAGUGCCUCAAACUUUGAUCAGUGACAUGCUGAGCUGGGUAGCCAACAUUUAUUUCAGUUUAUUAAUAAAGGAGAAAACUCAUUCCACGUGGUGAGGGGUCUGGAGACACUGCUGAAGAUGCACACGAUAUCUCAUGAUGACUUAAGUUGAACAUAAAUGAUUCAUAAGGCUGACAGGGCUCUGCAGACAUUGCAAAUGGGCAGAAACACAGUUCUGUACAAUGAAAUCCGGUACUGUAGCACCCAACACACUUGGCCAUGUUGCAGGAAUUCUUUUUAGAACAACACAGUUCAUAUGAUAAAUAAUUUGGAAUUCUUACCUGCUUUUAGAGAAUAUAGGACUUCUCUAAAGUUGAAUUAUAAGGAAUGUACAAUUUAUUCUAAUAGUUAUAUAUAUAGUUUGCAACAAAUUAUCAUCUAGCUUAAUUGUUUAGGCCUGAAAGAAGUAUUUAGAGUGAAUAAUUUGAAUUCCAAACACUUUUGCCCAUUUUCUAUAUUUAAUGACAGCAGUAGGAGGGAAAAAAGUCAUACAUUUUUUGUAAUACGGGGACCUGGUUGGAAAACUGUUUCCUUUUCACUUAAACACAAAUAGUUUGUAAGGUCUUUUUGUCUGGAAUUAGGUACCUCUCAACCCUGGCCUCUUGCUAAAUUAAUGGUUUUGAUUAUACUUAGCUCCACAAUUAAGUGUAUGAAUCAGUUGCACACGUAAGACACGUGGCAUUGUUGGUGCUCCUAGUUGAAGAGUAGUGCCUUUUCAGCAUUGUUUUACGGGCACUGAGAUAUGGAAGCUUCUUGCUAACAGCACCAUCACUAUUUCUGAAAUAUUUUUACUCACAAUAAAAACCAUUUUUAUGCUUCCGUAAAAUGAAUGAAAAGCACGAUGGCUUCCAUCAGAAAUCCUCUGGCUUUAUUCAUAUGAAUGUUGUUAAUGUUUAUUUAAUAGUUAUUGGAAGCACUCGGUAGCCCGGCUGCUAAUCGUAAGGAAUUGUUUGUUCAAAGCGUUUUGAGGCAGCCGGUCUUGUUUUCCUUAAAAUGCCCUUGCUGCCUCCCGAGUUCAGUUUCCAGAUCUUUAUGGGUCUGUGACCCACUCAGGAGCAACGUACUGAUCUUGGGACUGACCUGGCUUGUGAUUAACUCUUAUUGCUCUUAAGAUAAAGACGUGUUUUGCAUAAAGCAUAAGAUUCCCGUUUGGACAGAAAAUGUCAAUGUAAGGGUCUUGUGGGAUUCGUGCAGUUGCAAGUAGUGUCUCAUUUUUAUUAAAGGGAUUGCUCUGGUGAACGUGACUGUGUGUAACCUAUCUUUCUGCAUAGGCUUGGAAGGCAGAGUAGCUGUUAUCUCAGCAGGUAGGAGUGCCAGCUCCUUUCACUGGAUGCUUCAAGUGACCUUUGGAAUCCCCGCAGGGAAUGAAGGGCCGUAUCUCACAUUGCCUUGCUGGCUGCCCCACCAGCAUGCUGCAUGGGCAGUAUUGAGGUGAAAUCACUUUGUAGCAGGCUCUGCAUGCCACACAUGGGAACUUGAGCACCGUAUUUCAGCCUGUAAGUGAAAGCUGCCUCUUCAGUCACAUCUUUGUGCAACAAGUCAAAGAAGUUCUGAUGCCUGAAGUAUCUCUGUUAUUAGUUUGGAACUGAUAACAGAACUGCAGUAAUUGUCAAGCUGAGAUUGCCUCUGCUUGCUUCCUUCCUCCGUGCCUGUUGUCUCCUGUGCUUGGUGUUUCUUUGAUCAUGGUUAGGACUCAUUUGUGAUGUCACCAAGUCACUCUUCGAACUUUGUGAAGCUUCCUUGUGAGUCCCUCCCCUCUCAGUGCCUUUGACAUUUUUCAUUUAGUAGGGCAGCUCCUGCUUAGAUUAGUCAUGCUUAGAUUACUCAUUAAUCCCUGGGCUGCAGCAGUAUAAUUGGAGAAGGCUGAGUGUAGCUCAACAGGGAGGUCAGACUUUCAGAUAGCAUCCACGCUGAGCAGUAAAGCUGCUUUCUGCUAGUAUGGUCUCAAUGCUUUUUUAAACAUCACAUUUUAAAAUCUGAGUUAAAUGUGGCUCCAAUCCUUUCUACCACUGAAGUCAAAGCUUCAUGAUAUUAAUAGUAGAAGGGUGUAUGCACCAAAGGUGUAUGUUAUAUCCAGUCCUUGUGCUGCUCUCAUCCAGCUGAGGUCUGCCCCUGUCAGCAGUGUGUCUGCCCAUGGCAGGACAACAUGAGUCUUUCCUUCCAUACUACACUAUAGAAUUUAACUUUGUGCCGAUUGGCUCCUCCAGUUUCAUUUAUAUUCCUGUAACAAUGUCACUUAGAAGGGAACAAAGUUGAUGUAAAGAAUGAGAACACAGACAAGUCAGUGUGUGUCAGGGAUUCCAUUCUGUAACAAUGUCUCACAUCCUAAAGUACAUAAUUAAGAAGUGGCAUAACUUUUUUUGAGUCUAAGUUCUGUACGUGGCUCAUGCAGGUGCUUAACAUCUAAGUUAAAUGCCUGAAGUUGGUGUCCUGUGUACAGACAGAGGUAGGGAGCUGGGGUCUGUUUGUCUGGGUUUGUCAGGAGUUUAAAUCACCUUUUUUUUUUAUUGUUAUGUGAUGCCACGAAAAGUGAUCAGCCAUAUGCUAACAGUUAAAAUCUUCAGAGAGUUUCUGAGAACUUUCUGUCCCUUAAAGCAGAGCUGGGAUCUGAGUUUGGAUGAUGGUGUUCACUGCCCCGUUACUGUUCUGCUGCAGCAUGUGUCUGUUAGCUCAGGUCCGUGCCAGUUCUGACUCAGGGCCAUGAGCCUUCCAUUCAGCACACAGGAGCUAGGAAAGAUAUGAGCCAUAUUUCCUAUAUGCUCCAUUAAGCAUACAGUAGCAAAAAUAAGAAAGAAAAGAGUGACAUUUUCGUGGCAAUUUACUUCAACGUAAAAGUUAGUGUUUACAUUAUAGAAAAAAAAAAAAGAAGUAGUAAAAAUAGCAGAAAAUAUGUGAAAAAUAAAGCAUUUCAUUUGAGGAAAGCAGUGGUCAAAUUUUUGCAUGCUGACUGUUUGUGAUGUUAGCACAGCAUUGCGGGAGAAGAUAGGCUGAGUUGGCUACUCGUUUCUUGUGUGGCCUUGGCAGAUCAUCCCCUCUCCAAGCUCUGUAGCUGUGAAAUAGAGCAACAGCACUGCUCCACCUCCCAGGGAGAUGUAACCAUGAAGGAAUGAAGGAUCCUGAGCGAUCGAUGACAGAAACCACUGACGUUUGUGAGGUAGACAAAAGAUUGGAAAGUUAAAUUGAGGAGGGAAAGGAAGGAAGGAUGUUGUUUAGUCUGAGGUAGAAGAGUAGUGAGAGAAUGGGCAACUUAUGGGUAGGCCAAGUAGUGAGUAAUGUGGUAAGUGAUGGUAUCAGUAAGAGAACUGUAAACGUGAUGUGGUGAAUUCUUGAGAUAAAGGUGAUGCUGUGGUAAUGCAGAAGAGACCACUGCAGUGAGAUGGGGUGAGGUACUGUCACAUCCACCUUUUUUGUGUCUGUGGCAUUUCAGCUGUAUUCUGGAGGGGACAGAACGAAAUGUGGUAUCUGAAAAGCCUUCUGAAUAUUCUUGGGCACCACAGAUACGGUCACUGAAAUACAAUCCUAACUGUAAAAGAGAAACUAAUCAUUUAAUGGCUCACUAACUGGGUAAAAAACCUGAGCAGGUUUCACAGCCUGGCUGUACGUGGUUACAGGUGACAAGCAGGAAAGGGCAGGCUAUGAGCCACGUGUGGAUGGAAGCAGGCAGUGGGCUGCUGAUCGAGUGAAGAGAUGCUCCCAGGCAGCUAGCAUGGUAAUUGCAAUGGCGCUGAGCUCUUGGGAGAGGAGCCAGAAGUUAGCUGAGCACAAGGACAGCAAGGGUCGAAGGCAUGGUCACAGAGACUGUGAGGAUAUGGUACGGACAGGGAAACGAUAUGGAAAGGGAACUGGAAGGUGAGCGUGGAUUUGAUUUUAUUCACGUUGGAGUUGCAAGUGCUCUUCCUCCAAAGAAGAAGAGCUAGAGUGAUAAGUAAUUGAACCACCUGGCAUCGAACCAAACUGCACAUAAAAUGGUCAUCAGUCCCCAGCUGUUCCCAGGUGAAAGGAAGGCCCCGGCUGACUUGUACUGUGCUGCACACUGCUCUACUGGCCUGCAAGGCUUUGGCAUGUACAGCCUUCUCCUUUGAAAACUGUCAUGUGUGGCAGCCUUUCCACGUGCAGAUCAUGUCUCCCCUCUCUGGGGCAGAAAACAGAGAAGAAGGGUGAAGUUUGUGCUUCAUUGCACCACGAGAAGUAAAGGCAGCACAUUGGCAGCUCCUCAUCGCAUACAAAACUGCUGCCCAUCUCUGCCUGCUCCCCCGGUGCACCCAUGGCACAGCACUGUCCCCAGCUGAGGACUGUGCCCCCAUCCCUGCCCUGCUGCCCCCAGUGCACACCCUGGCCCUGUUAGAUCUGCUUUCUUUCCUGCACCCAUCCUGCAGGUGGGACAGAGGACGGGCUGGCACUGGUGCCAGGAGGAGAUUUGCAUGCAGUCAGGACAUUCGGGAGCUUUGUCAGUAGCAGUGACAUGUUCUCAGUUAACAAGGAAGCAAAAUAAACUUGCAGAGACACUUUGGUUCUCAACUGGGCUGCCACAUGCCAGCUUCUGUGCGCAGUUCCGUGCUGAUAGAUCAGAGCAGAGGCUGUGCCUGCACCCUGCAGCAGGUAGCCCGCUUUGCACCCUGCAGACAGUGCAGGGGCUGAGGUCAGGAAACAUUCAGAGCACCCACUUUUGUGGUGCAAUUUACAGUCCCAAAAUUCACUUCAGAGUUCCGGAAGGAUAUUUAAUUCCUCCAUCGCUGUGAUUUUCUCUUGUUUCCUUCCCAACCAACAGAAACCAGUAGGGCCAACUUUGCGCGCUGGCUCUCAGCGCUGUUCAGGGUUUUGGAGUGCUUUCCCAGCCCUCCCUGGUGCGAUCUGCUGUGCGAUGGAAGAAUAGCACCCUCAAGAGUUGACGGCCGCGCUGCUCCGGGGCUCCACAGCACUCGGCAGGAACCCUUCCUCCUCCUGUUAAAAAACACCCCGGCACACGCAGCCGAGGCAACGAGACAUAAACGUUUCUUUUGCCAUCACAUGUGGAAUGUUUGGCAUCGGUCGGUGUGGGUGUGGAAAUCUGUGCCUGUCCGAGGGAUGGCAGCUGCUGAGCGUGGCAUUUGCCUUCGGAGAAGAGGCAUUCAGAAAAGAAUUGUCCUAUUUAUUUAAGUCUGGGAAACUUGUUUCAUACCAUCCUAAAAGAAUUUGAACAGGAAUCAAUAGUUUUUGUGCAGAAAGAGAUUAUUUUAAAGUACUUCACUGAGAUAAAAGGGGUCUAUGUAAAAAAUACUGAGCAAACCAGUCCUUAAAUUGCGGGGACUUGUUCGUUAAUUACAGUAAUUAGGAAUGGAAUCCGAUCCUAAACUUUCCGAUUUGCUUUGCAUUUCUCUUCAUGUGUGGUUAGACCUUAAUUUUCAGAACGAUUCUAAAACGUGAGACUACAGAGGCGUCAGUAUUGUUGGUGAGUGACGAGCAGUUCUGUGCUCCUGCUGCUGCCCGCAGCGCAGACCUUUUGCUGUGGGUGUGCAUGGCCGGUUCCUGCCCGCUGCCUUCAGAGCGCCGUGCGGCCACGGGAUGCUCGGGCAUGGCCAGUGCUGGCUGUUGGGCCAGCUGGGUCUUACAGCAUCAGCAAGUCUGGGUCAGCACCUGCCCCUCCUCUGCAAAUGGGUUUGCUGGGGCAGAGCCUGCAGGAUCCGCACAGCCAGAUGUGGCAGGGCUGCGCAGAGAUGUUGUGGGGGCUUCUUCUAUGGAGAUAUUUGAGACCCGUAUGGACGCCUACCUGUGUGACCUGCUGUACGGAACCUGUGGAGCAGGGGGUUGGACUCCAUGAUCUCUUCAGGUCCCUCCCAACCCCUGCAGCUCUGUGAUUCUGUGAUUUCUGCCCAGGCUGAAGCAUCCCAGAU